UUUCACUCAAAACCCACCAAAUGACUCCUCCCACAAUAUUAUGAUGUUUCCCAAGUUUUGGACUCAAUCCGAUGUCGAUUGGUCCUUGAAAUCGGACAGUUCAGGUUCCUACAAAGUUCGUUCUGAAAUGGGGUGCUUGGUGUAUUGUAUAGUUCUAGAGAUUGGAUUUCACUGAAAGCCCACCAAAUGACUACUCCCACAAUGUUAUGAUGUUCCCAAAGUUUUGGACUCAAUCCGAUAUCGAUCGGUCCACGAAAUUUGACAAUUCAGGUUCGUAAGAAGUUCGUUCUGAAAUGCGGUGGUUGGUGUAUUUUAUAGUUCUAAAGAUUAGAUUUCACCCAAAACCCACCAAAUGACUCCUCCCAAAAUAUUAUGAUGUUCCCCAACUUUUGGACUCAAUCCGAUAUCGAUUGGACCUUGAAAUCGGACAAUUCAGGUUCCUACGAAGUUCGUUCUGAAAUGGGGUGGUUGGUGUAUUGUAUAGUUCUAGAGAUUGGAUUUCACUCAAAACCCACCAAAUGACUCCUCCCACAAUAUUAUGAUGUUCCCCAAGUUUUGGACUCAAUCCGAUAUCGAUUGGUCCUUCAAAUCGGACAAUUCAGGUUCGUACGAAGUUCAUUCUGAAAUGGGUUGGUUGGUGUAUUUCAUAGUUCUAGAGAUUGGAUUUCACACAAAACCCACCAAAUGACUCCUCCCAAAAUAUUAUGAUGUUCCCCAAGUUUUGGACUCAAUCCGUUACCGAUUAGUCAAUGUAAUCGGACAAUUCAGGUUCGUACGAAUUUCGUUCUGAAAUGGGGUGGUUGGUGUAUUGUAUAGUUCUAAAGAUUGGAUUUCACUCAAAACCCACCAAAUUACUCCUCCCACAAUAUUAUGAUGUUCCCCACGUUUUGGACUCAAUCCGUUAUCGAUUGGUCAAAGAAAUCGGACAAUUCAAGUUAGUACGAAGUUCGUUCUGAAAUGGGGAGGUUGGUGUAUUGUAUAGUUCUAGAGAUUGGAUUUCACUCAAAGCCCACCAAAUGACUCCUCCCACAAUGUUAUGAUGUUCCCCAAGUUUUGGACUCAAUCCGAUAUCGGUCGGUCCACGAAAUUUGACAAUUCAGGUUCGUAAGAAGUUCGUUCUGAAAUGCGGUGGUUGGUGUAUUUUAUAGUUCUAAAGAUUGGAUUUCACUCAAGACCCACCAAAUGACUCCUCCCACAAUAUUAUGAUGUUCCCCAAGUUUUGGACUCAAUCCGAUAUCGAUUAGACCUUGAAAUCGGACAAUUCAGGUUCCUACGAAGUUCGUUCUGAAAUGGGGUGGUUGGUGUAUUGUAUAGUUCUAGAAUUGGAUUUCACUCAAUACCCACCAAAUGACUCCUCCCAAAAAUAUUAUGAUGUUCCCCAAGUUUGGACUCAAUCCGUUACCGAUUGGUCAAUAAAAUCGGACAAUUCAGGUUCGUACGAAGUUCGUUCUGAAAUGGGGUGGUUGGUGUAUUGUAUGGUUCUAAAAUUGGAUUUCACUCAAUACCCACCAAAUGACUCCUCCCACAAUAUUAUGAUGUUCCCCAAGUCUUGGACUCAAUCCGAUAUCGAUUGGACCUUGAAAUCGGACAAUUCAGUUCCUACGAAGUUCGUUUCUGAAAUGGGGUGGUUGGUUGUAUUGUAUAGUUCUAGAGAUUGAUUUCACUCAAAACCCACCAAAUGACCUCCUCCCAAAUAUUAAUGAUGUUCCCCAGUUUUGACUCAUCCGAUAUCGAUUGGUCCUUCAAAUCGGACAAUUCAGGUUCGUACGAAGUUCGUUCUGAAAUGGGUUGGUUGGUGUAUUGCAUAGUUCGAGAGAUUGGAUUUCACACAACACCCACCAAAUGACUCCUCGCAAAAUUUUAUGAUGUUCCCCAAGUUUUGGACUCAAUCCGUUACCGAUUGGUCAAUGAAAUCGGACAAUUCAGGCUCGUACGAAGUUCGUUCUGAAAUGGGGUGGUUGGUGUAUUGUAUGGUUCUAAAAUUGGAUUUCACUCAAUACCCACCAAAUGACUCCUCCCACAAUAUUAUGAUGUUCCCCAAGUCUUGGACUCAAUCCGAUAUCGAUUGGACCUUGAAAUCGGACAAUUCAGGUUCCUACGAAGUUCGUUCUGAAAUGGGGUGGUUGGUGUAUUGUAUAGUUCUACAGAUUGGAUUUCACUCAAACCCCACCAAAGGACUCCUCCACAAUAUUAUGAUUUUCCCCAUGUUUUGGACUCAAUCCGAUAUCGAUUGGUCCUUCAAAUCGGACAAUUCAGGUUCAUACGAAGUUCGUUCUGAAAUGGGGUGGUUGGUGUAUUGUAUAGUUCUCGAGAUUGGAUUUCACUCAAAACCCCCCAAAUGACUCCUCCCACAAUAUUAUGGUGUUCCCCAAGUUUUGGACUCAAUCCGAUAUCGAUUGGACAAUGAAAUCGGACAAUUCAGGUUCGUACGAAGUUCGUUCUGAAAUGGGGUGGUUGGUGUUUUGUAUAGUUCUAGGGAUUGUAUUUCACUCAAAACUUACCAAAUGACUGCUUCCACAAUAUUAUGAUGUUCCCCAAGUUUUGGACUCAAUCCGAUAUCGAUUGGUCCUUGAAAUCGGACAAUUCAGGUUCGUACGAUGUCCGUUCUGAAAUGGGGUGGUUGGUGUGUUGUAUAGUUCUACAAAUUGGAUUUCACUCAAACCCCACCAAAUGACUCCUCCGACAAUAUUAUGAUGUUCCCCAAGUUUUGGACUCAAUCCGAUAUCGAUUGGUCCAUGAAAUCUGACAAUUCAGGUUCGUACGAAGUUCGUUCUGAAAUGUUGUGGUUGGUGUAUUGUAUAGUUCUAGAGAUUGGAAUUCACUCAAAACCCACCAAAUGACUCCUCCCAAAAUAUUAUGUUGUUACCCAAGUUUUGGACUCAAUCCGUUAUCAAUUGGUCAAUGAAAUCGGACAAUUCAGGUUCGUACGAAGUUCGUUCUGAAAUAGGGUGGUUGGUGUGUUGUAUAGUUCUAGAGAUUGGAUUUCACUCAAAACCCACCCCAUGACUCCUCCCACAAUAUUAUGAUGUUCCCCAAGUUUUUGACUCAAUCGAAUAUGGAUUGGUCCUUGAAAUCGGACAAUUCAGGUCCGUACGAAGUUCGUUCUGAAAUGGGGUGGUUGUUGUAUUGUAUAGUUCUAGAGAUUGGAAUUCACUCAAAACCCACCAAAUGACUCCUCCCAAAAUAUUGUGUUGUUCCCCAAGUUUUGGACUCAAUCCGUUAUCGAUUGGUCAAUGAAAUCGGACAAAUUCAGGUUCGUACGAAGUUCGUUCUGAAAGGGGGUGGUUGGUGUAUUGUAUAGUUCUGGAGAUUGGAUUUCACUCAACACCCACCAAAUGACUCCUCCCACAAUAUGAUGAUGUUCCCCAAGUUUUGGACUCAAUCCGAUAUCGAUUGGUCAAUGAAAUCGGACAAUUCAGGUUCGUACGAAGUUCGUUCUGAAAUGGGGUGGUUGGUGUAUUGUAUAGUUCUAGAGAUUGGAUUUCACUCAAAACCCACCAAAUGACUCCUCCCACAAUAUGAUGAUGUUCCCCAAGUUUUGGACUCAAUCCGAUAUCGAUUGGUCAAUGAAAUCGGACAAUUCAGGUUCGUACGAAGUU
Molecule: long non-coding RNA, 3599 nt
Filed under: Prunus persica (peach)
Lineage: Eukaryota; Viridiplantae; Streptophyta; Magnoliopsida; Rosales; Rosaceae
Description: long non-coding RNA (PPER_LNC005289)
Source: RNAcentral